UCCCUGAUAACUCAGUUGGUAAAGAAUCUGCCUGCAGUGCAGAAGACUCCAGUUCGAAUCCUGGGUUGGGAA
RNAcentral lists this transfer RNA (72 nucleotides) under Bos taurus (domestic cattle). It matches the Rfam family "tRNA". Rfam says of the family: Transfer RNA (tRNA) molecules are approximately 80 nucleotides in length. Their secondary structure includes four short double-helical elements and three loops (D, anti-codon, and T loops). Further hydrogen bonds mediate the characteristic L-shaped molecular structure. tRNAs have two regions of fundamental functional importance: the anti-codon, which is responsible for specific mRNA codon recognition, and the 3' end, to which the tRNAs corresponding amino acid is attached (by aminoacyl-tRNA synthetases). tRNAs cope with the degeneracy of the genetic code in two manners: having more than one tRNA (with a specific anti-codon) for a particular amino acid; and 'wobble' base-pairing, i.e. permitting non-standard base-pairing at the 3rd anti-codon position. The record is from Rfam by way of RNAcentral. Lineage: Eukaryota; Metazoa; Chordata; Mammalia; Artiodactyla; Bovidae. RNAcentral also lists the same sequence under 2 other names.